CCGUGCUCGGUGCUCGGUGCUCGUGACUCCAGCUCUCUGCCCUCCUGACCUGAAACCCUGAGUUCCACAGAUGCUGAUGGCCUCAGUCAACUCACAGGAAGGUCGGGAUCCCAAGCCUGGACAUGUGUCCUGAACAUGGCUGUACCUGUCAUAUGUCACCCCCUCCAUGGUGCCUUUGGCUGCCUUCCACUUGUUUGAGACAGAGUGCUGUGGAACACGAUCCUUUAGGAGAAAACAAACACCUUUUCAUCAGAUCAGCUGUGUCUGCUUGCAAGAGUCCAUUUCCACAGGGCUUGCUGACUGCUGACACCCCCUCCCAGAAGAUGGGGGUCGGGAGGGGCUGUUGGACCCGAACUCGAGACUCCAGCCAUUUGUCAAGGAGACCCACACACUCUGAAGACCAUCCAAGUCUCAUGACUGUCUUCAUAUAGGUCAGCACCGAGUCAGCCAGAGAUAAAGCUGUGUCCUUCCUGGGACCCUUUUCUCUCUGUUCUCUUUAAAGAGUUAAGUCUCCCAGGCCUUGAUCUUCAGGUCGGGAGCUAGGAUGAAAUCUGUCUACAGUGGCCCCGCCCACCAUGAGCAUCUGCAGGACCACACAAUUGCGACGGGGAUGUUGUAAUCUGAUGAGAAAUAGGAAUUGUGUCUUUGGCUCCUGAGACUGUUACCAUUUCCUGUGCAACUUCAGAGCUGGGGGCAUCUUUUGUCCUCGUGGUGGCUUUCCACUUCCAGCUUUGGACAUGGGGUUCUGGUUCCCUCCUGCCCCACCACCCCGAGUUCCCCGGUAACAGAAGUGUCCCUUGCUCUAAGAAGUGACUCAUGGUGGGCUCCUGUAUAGCUUCAAUAGAAGCUGGUUACCAGCAGGACCGAGCCAUGUUUGGAAGCUUGGGACUUUUCCAGAAAAGGGAGUAGCCAGACAUGAAGUUAGCGGUCCCUCUUGCCAGUGUGGUGCAGCUUCUAGACAGAUUCUUGGGCAGCAGGGCUUGAAAGCUCCUGGACUGAUGAAUACAUAGAGGGCCUAGAAAGGGGGUGCAUGGGGGGUUCAUGUCCCUUCUUCUUCGCCGUGCCCCGUGUAUCCUUUCUAUCAGCUUCUUCAUCUAUAGCUUUUCAAACGUGUGCACUAUACCAGUGGGCACAGGGGCAAUGAUUCCCCUGGGAGCAAUCUAACAAAUGAAUUCAACUCGAGGGGUGUCCUUUGAUGACCUCAAGUAAAGCCACUGGGCCAGGAGCACAGGGCAGGGCCAGGGUCUUACUACGGGCGGGCACCUGAGUCUGGGGGAGGCAGCCUUGGGAGGCUGAGCCCUUAACUUUCAAAAGCCAGCCCUUUCUUUAGAGAGAUGUGUCAGAAAUGGGCUGGGUUAAAGACACACCCUUGGUGGUGUGGUUGGAAUACAACUGGCAGUCACCGACUUGGGUGCUGAAUGUUUGGUCCCGUCUGGUAGUGCUGUUUGGAGAAGUUGUGGAAACUUCAGGAGGUAAGACCUACCUGGAGGAAUGAGCUUUCCUCCCUCUCUUCCGUUUGUCCACUGUGAGGUGAGAACCCUCUCUCUACACGCUCCUCCUACCACGACGACCUGGCCAAGUGCCCAGAGCCAAGCAGCCACCACGGACUGUGAGCCUGGAACUUUGAGCCAAGAUGGAUCUCUUCGUAUGUUGCUUCUGUCCAGGAUUUGCUCGCAAUCAUGCAAAAGUGAUAAAGUUGGCGUCCCCUGGAGUCCUGGCUGUUACUGGAAGAAUGAUCUACAGUUAGCUCUGCCAGUGAACCGCAAAAGCUAUUGGUCUUUCUGUCUCUUACAACAGUCAUUGCAGAGAUGAGACUGCCGGAGUACAAGUGGCUGGGUACCUGAGGGUGCUUUGUACAACCGGACCAGGGUGUGAAAGCAAAUCCCCUAGAACAGUCCAAGGUGGCAGAGUGGCAUUGGACCCUCAGUGUGAUGUUUAGAGUUCAUUGUCAAUGUGACAGGACCUAAAAUCACCUGGGACCUGGGCCUCUGGGCACGCCUGUGGCAGGUUGUCUGGACUAUGUUGACUGACGUGGGAGUCCCAUCUUAACCAUGGGCAGGUCCUGGCUGGGGACCUGGACUGUAGGAUGGGAAAGGCAGCCUGUGUUUAUCUCUCUCCUCCCUGGGCGGAUGGGAUGGGACUGGCUUUCAAGCUCCUGCUGCCUCGAUUUCCCUGUCUUGAUGGACUGUACCCUGAACUACGAUCUAAAAGAAAUGAUUUCUCCCUUAAUGCUUUUGCCAGGGUGUUUAAUGACAGCAGCAAGAAAAGACGCAAAGACACUGGGUGUCUGGGGUCACAAAGCACCUACGGGCUGCAGGCCCGGAAGUCUGAAAUUUCAAGAGAAGCUAAGCAUCUUGACUUUGGACGUGACACUGGUUUUCUGAGACAGGGUCUGUUUCCAAGCCUGGCUCAAAUGUACUUUAUAUUCAGGAUAGCCUUUAAUGUCUGAUCUUCCUGCCUCUCCCUCCUGAGAGCUGGGACCAUAGGCGUGUGCCAUCGUACCCACUUUAUGCAGUGUUGGGGGUGGAACCCAGGGCUUACGCAUGUCAAGCAAGUUUUCUCCCACAUGUGCAGCCUGUGUGUGACACGCCCUUGGUUUCUGCCUCUAAUGCCGGUGAGUUUAAUGAAAGUCUGAGGUUUCUGGCCCACAGGCCUCCUGUUUAUACAACCUAUAAUAUAAAUUAAAUGAGCCUGCAAUAUAAUAUAAAUGAAAAGUUCUCAGACUGCCCUGGAGCCAUGGAUGCUUUGAAAAUGCAAUGAAGGCAUCCACGAAGUGUGAGAAGAUAUUCGCAAUUCAUAAAAUUGUGGACAAAUGAUUUCUAGAACAUACUUUUGAGAAACGACAAUAACAACAACAAAAACACAAUAUGAAUCAACAAACUUUAAAAACCACCCAACAACUUGGCAGACUAGCAAGCAGUUGACUUGUCCCCCUAUAGAAAGGAGGUCCUCUAGGCCAAGAAACAUAGACAAAGGGCUCUGUCUCACUAGUCAUAGAAAACAGGCAGAGUGACUCUGCCGUUGCUGAUCCUCAUCACACCACAGUGGCCAAAAGGAAGACCCCUAACCAGAGCGAGGCAGCUGUGAGGAUGUGGGCACUCCCCAAUUCUCGUGCUGUCCUAGGGUUCUGCACAUAGGUAAGAAUAUUCUGGGAAAAAAUGGUUUGAUUGUUAAUGGUAUCUUUACUAUUUAAGCCUUAAGGGAUAACGAGUUGGCAUGGAGGCACUAAAACUUUGUUGUUUACGUUUAUCUGGUAAAACUGGGUGUGCAUGUGCCCUGUGAUCUCAGGACUCAGGCUGGAUGUGCUUGUCCCCUAUGAUCUCAGAACCCAGGCUGGAUGUGCACGUGCCCUGAGAUCUCAGGUCACAGGCUGGAUGUGCAUGUGUCCUAUGACCUCAGGACCCAGGCUGGAUGUGCAUGUGUCCUAUGAUCUCAGGACCCAGGCUGGAUGUGCAUGUGCCCUGUGAUCGCAGGUCCCACACUCAAUCAUCUUCCUUAGAGAACUCUUGUUCGGACAGCCAAGCCUGAAAGCAGUGUGAAUGCACAGAGGCCAGGUGCUAUGACUGUAUAAACUUUAUACGUAUAGUUAUAGUUAUAUAUAGCCUCAUGAUGGAAGGCUUGUGAGCCAAGAAAAAGAAGAGCCCCAGGCUCCGCUGUCUCCCCCGAAGGAGCUGUGUUUGCAGUGCAAAGCCACGGGGUGGGGAGAGGGCAGGGUGGUUCAGAAGCAAGUGAGACUGAGCAGUGUGUUGUUUUGGAAGAGAUCGAUAGGUGGGAGAAUCAUCUAGAAAGCAAUAAAGGAGCUAGAAGGGUUGGCUCGGCUGCUAAAGGCACUUGCUCUUCCAGGAGACCAGAGUUAAGUUCCCAGCACCAUGUUUGGAGGCUCACUAUAGCCUGUAACUCCAGCUCUAGGGACUCCUGUGUUCUCUUCUGGUCUCCGUGGGCACCCACAUGCUCGUGACCUUUAAGGCAUAUCUUUCACUCCUCAGCUGUUAGCCACCCACCUUGUCUUUUGAGAUGCUGGCCUGUAAAUUACCAACUCAGCUUGACUGUCUAGCCAGAAAGCCUUAUGGAUCUCCCACCUCCAUCUCCCAGCACUGGAUUACAAGAGCAUGCCACCACAUCCAGCUUUUUAAUGUAUGCUCUGGGGAUGGAACUCAGGUCUUCAUGCAUGCCAGGUGAAUACUUCAUGGAUGAGCCAAUCCUCCAUUCCAUUUCAUUAUUCUUUACACAACCCACAGGCCUUAGGUAUGAGCCUCUGUCUGUAUUUACAACAAAGGAAACACGAAGCAAUCUAAUCCCAGGCUGGAGAGAUGGCUCCGAGGGGACGAGCACUGGGUGCUCUUCCAAACAACCUAGUACUUUAAUAGUGGCUGACCUUUUCUAACUCCGGCUCCAGUUCCAGGGGAUCUGAAGCCCUCUUCUGGCCUCUUUGGGUACUUCAUGCAUG
Molecule: long non-coding RNA, 4447 nt
Organism: Peromyscus leucopus (white-footed mouse)
Lineage: Eukaryota; Metazoa; Chordata; Mammalia; Rodentia; Cricetidae
Exons: 4
Source: RefSeq, a predicted model, not a curated record